UUUCCGUAGGUGAACCUGCGGAAGGAUCAUUAUUGUAUAACCGAGGUGCGAGGGCUGUCGCUGACACGAACGGUCGUGCCAGCCCGAGUGGCCUCCCACACAUCCAUCUCACCCCUUUGUGCUCCACCGCGUGUGUCCCCCUUUGGCCUAUUCUGAGGGGGGAAUACGUAUUCACCCAACAAUAAUGUACCGUGUGGAUUGUAUUUUUUGUUUUUACGAUCCAGAUAUCAAUACAACAUUUCACAACUGAACUCUUGGCUCUCACAUCGAUGAAGAACC
RNAcentral lists this unclassified non-coding RNA (279 nucleotides) under plant metagenome. Its description in RNAcentral is "partial contains small subunit ribosomal RNA, internal transcribed spacer 1, and 5.8S ribosomal RNA". The record is from RNAcentral.